RNAcentral lists this ribosomal RNA (439 nucleotides) under uncultured bacterium mle1-22. Its description in RNAcentral is "bacterial SSU rRNA". It matches the Rfam family "Bacterial small subunit ribosomal RNA", at positions 68 to 523 of the family's 1533-position model. Lineage: Bacteria; Deltaproteobacteria. The record is from RNAcentral.
GGGUUGGCAACAACCAGUGGCGCACGGGUGCGUAACACGUAGGUAAUCAACCUCUUGGUUCGGGAUAACGUUCUGAAAGGAACGCUAAUACCGGAUGUGUUCCGAAAGGAAGAAAGACCCUCAAGGGUCGUCAAGAGACGAGCCUGCGGCCCAUCAGCUAGUUGGUGAGGUAAUGGCUCACCAAGGCGAAGACGGGUAGCUGGUCUGAGAGGAUGAUCAGCCACACUGGAACUGAGACACGGUCCAGACUCCUACGGGAGGCAGCAGUGGGGAAUAUUGCGCAAUGGGCGAAAGCCUGACGCAGCCACGCCGCGUGAGCGAUGAAGGUCUUCGGAUCGUAAAGCUCUGUGGGGAGAGACGAAGAAAGCCCGUGAAGAGCGGGCCUUGACGGUAUCUCCUUAGCAAGCACCGGCUAACUCCGUGCCAGCAGCCGCGGUAA